UGGCUUAAGGAGUGUGACUUGAGAGCU
This 27-nucleotide non-coding RNA is filed under the name Rattus norvegicus (Norway rat). Lineage: Eukaryota; Metazoa; Chordata; Mammalia; Rodentia; Muridae. The record is from RNAcentral.